This 255-nucleotide long non-coding RNA is filed under the name Musa acuminata (dwarf banana). Its description in RNAcentral is "long non-coding RNA (MACU_LNC004825)". The record is from RNAcentral. Lineage: Eukaryota; Viridiplantae; Streptophyta; Magnoliopsida; Zingiberales; Musaceae.
UGCGAUCUAAAGAAUGCAUUAGACUUGUAUUCUUGGUUACAACUUUGAUUUCUCUUCGAGAAAAGACAAGAUUUUGUGGGCUAGAGGAUAAAUGAAUCAAUAUAGAACUUGGGUGGAAAUAACUAAAAAAAGAAGUGGAUGUUCCCAAACAUUGCUUCCUCGAGUCCAAGAUUUCAUGUGAAGACAGAGAGCAAUCAGCUCAAGGGGAAGAAAACAAUAUGCAUGGGGCAUUGCAUUUUAGUGUGCAACGUGAGU